Molecule: long non-coding RNA, 542 nt
Organism: Nelumbo nucifera (sacred lotus)
Lineage: Eukaryota; Viridiplantae; Streptophyta; Magnoliopsida; Proteales; Nelumbonaceae
Source: RefSeq, a predicted model, not a curated record
UCGUUUCGUUUGUCCUUUUUUAUUUCAACAGCCAACGUCCUUGUCUGUGUUUGUCACAUUUCCACGGCUUCAUAUUCCGAACUCAGUACUACUUUGGCCACGAACAGGAUUGCUAGUCCAUUAAUUGCAGCAUAGAGGAUAAAGGUGCCUGAAAACCACAGAAAUAGUGUCUUGAGAAUAGAGUUAAGAAAUGAGAACUUGGAUUUCUGCUGCUUCAUGAGAAAUAUCAGCAUCCUUGCCACGGAGCCUUCGCAGAGCAGCAUCAAACUCUUUCUGUAUACAAGAUAUUUUUCAUUGCUUUCUUACCAGCCAUCUAGGAGACUCUGGAAUGAAAAAGAGGCCCAGAAAUAGAAUAAAGCAUGGGAUCAAUCCUGUUUUCUCAACCUGGUUGACUGUUGUCAGGCCUCCUCGAAGAUCUUUGGGUGCCAUUUCAGCUAUGAAAACAGCUUCAGCAUCCUGGUCGACGGCCAUGUUUAAUACCGAGAGGCGAGACCAGAUAUUUGACUAAGAGAUGAGCUUUUAGCUUUGCGCUGCUAAAAGAA